Molecule: transfer RNA, 73 nt
Filed under: Vibrio ponticus
Lineage: Bacteria; Pseudomonadati; Pseudomonadota; Gammaproteobacteria; Vibrionales; Vibrionaceae
Description: tRNA-Val
Rfam family: tRNA
About the family: Transfer RNA (tRNA) molecules are approximately 80 nucleotides in length.
Source: RNAcentral
GGGUCCGUAGCUCAGUUGGUUAGAGUACUACCUUGACAUGGUAGGGUCACCAGUUCGAAUCUGGUCGGACCCA